UGGAUUUUUCAAGGAAUAUUGAAUGAGAUAUUUAGUAGAUGCUGUCAGAGGUACUGGCAGACACAGUGGCGCCUUCAACCCCUGCCUUAGACCAUUUAGGAAGUGCAUAAGUUAAGAUAAUGAUAUUUAAAUUCAACAUCAUUCAGGCUUCUUUGAAGCUGGAGAAGGAGAAGCUUCCCAGAACCACAGAUCCCCUUUUCAAAUGUCACUUCACAUGUUAUAUUUUCCAGAUGCCCCAUAGACCAAAGAUGUCUUAAGCAGAAAUUAGAGGGGUUGCCAUUCCCUACUCUUAAAGUGUGUAAUCACAAUGCAGGGGAUAAUGAAAGGAAUUAGAAGACUCCUUUCAUUUUCCAUUGGCAGGUGUUGCGGUCUUGUGAGAGAGAAGCAGGAGGACCUGUCUCUCCUUUUUUUCCUCAUCCAGUUUUUCAGCUCCUCUUAAUUCUCCCAUUCCCCCAGCUCAUUAUAGAAGGGUUCCAUAAAUGGUAUGAGUAUCCAGAAUCCAUGGGCAGCUGGUAAGGCCCCAGUACUGACACUGAACCCGGGCUCCUUACAUUGGGAGGCUAGAUCUGGAAGCUGUCCACUGCUAGAAUUACCCGCAAUGUCCUGCAGUGAUGCUGUGUCAGGGGCAAUGUGGGUCUGGGCUGCCUAGUGUAGACUGCAGAGCUGCCACCAUCAGGUCUGGACUGUCCAGCAAUUUAAGAGGGGCACUUUGCUGGCUGCCCUCCAUAUCCUGAUGUGCUCCCUGGCCAUAAAAUACAGAGAUGCUCUUGAAGCGAAAGCAUUUGUUGGAAAGUUGCUCUUUCCUGAAAAAAGAUGUCCAUGGACUACAUGCUGAAAACGUCUUUCUUCUCAAUAGUUUUUAUUAUCACAAGUGCUUUAUUUGGUUUCUUUUCAUUUAAUACAAAAAUGUAACGGAAGAUAAUAUGAGGAGUUGGAUGCAAAUGAAAAUGCUAGCUAAGCACUACUCAAAGCUGAAGUAUUUGUGGCCCAUUUCCAUGCAGGAGAAUGCAAUUUCAAUUGCUCACUGUACCUUAUCUCAGUAUGUGCUGCUUUGUAAAAAAUAUGUUAUGGAAAGUGGUUUUGCUCGUUUUCUGCUAUGUAUUUUUUUCGCCCAUUAUUUCCAUUCAGCUUCCUAAUGUUAACUGUUUAAGAACAGUGAAGCUGGCAAUGCACAGGUUACAAGUAGCCAAGUGGCAGGUCCAUAGGACAGGAGCUCAAUGCAUCUUAGGAGGAUAUAUUUUUAUGCCAUUACUUGUCAAUGGUAAGGUUACAACAUUGGGGAAAUGUUACUAUGGAAUAUUGCACAUCUGUGGAGGCUCUGUGUGCAGUUUGAGAAGUCUGGGUUCUCAGUAAACAGCACAUGGAGCUUCCACUGAUACACAAGGCUCACCACAAGGCUCAAGAGGUUGGAGAAUUUGUGCAAACCUGGUGGCAAUUACGCUCUUCUUUUAGGGCAAUAAUACCUGGAAAAGGGCUUAUACCUAUCACAAAUCAGCUCGUUCUAUCCCUCCAUUGCUACCCUAUGGGAAGCAAGUUACUGUUCCGGAUACCUGACCAAUAAUGCAGAACCCAAACUCUUUCUCAACUGACGUAGGAAGUAUGCUUACCUGGUCUCUGCAGGUUUGUUAAAAACCACUCCACUCACCUUCCCCUCACCUAGGAGGAAGGCAGCACAACUGCCUUGGGAGUGAAGGUAUUGAGAAUGUAACUAAACACUGAAUAAACCAUGGUUGCGGCAUGCUAAAUGCUAAUUAGUCAGUGAUCAUUCUGCUCCGACCAACUGGCAAGGAAAUGCAUAUAACUAUCUUCUUGCUAAUUAACAUGAAUCCUGAAAAAUGAGCAUAAACAACAUCUGGGACUCCAUCCUCAGAUAAGCAGGGGGUGGAGAGAACGCGCUUUGAAUUUCAGAGGCCCUGUUUACUAUUUGUGGGUAUGCUUGAUGCCGACGCACAUUUUUCGGGAGACACCUGGUGCUGUGGGAUAAAAGUGCUGAGAGGCAGCAGGGUAAGCAGAUGAAAAUUAAAUGCAAAGUAACUUCAUUGCACACACUCGGCUGUGCCCCGUAGUACUUGACCCAUUUGC
RNAcentral lists this long non-coding RNA (2082 nucleotides) under Podarcis lilfordi (Lilford's wall lizard). The record is from RNAcentral. Lineage: Eukaryota; Metazoa; Chordata; Lepidosauria; Squamata; Lacertidae.